This 484-nucleotide ribosomal RNA is filed under the name uncultured bacterium. RNAcentral's name for it is "partial 16S ribosomal RNA". It matches the Rfam family "Bacterial small subunit ribosomal RNA", at positions 28 to 523 of the family's 1533-position model. The record is from RNAcentral.
GACGAACGCUGGCGGCGUGCUUAACACAUGCAAGUCGAACGAUGAAGCUAGAGCUUGCUCUGGUGAAUUAGUGGCGAACGGGUGAGUAACGCGUGAGUAACCUGCCCCGAACUCUGGGAUAACUGCUGGAAACGGUAGCUAAUACUGGAUACGACCUACGAAGGCAUCUACUGUAGGUGGAAAGAAUUUCGGUUCGGGAUGGACUCGCGGCCUAUCAGCUUGUUGGUGAGGUAAUGGCUCACCAAGGCGACGACGGGUAGCCGGCCUGAGAGGGUGACCGGCCACACUGGGACUGAGACACGGCCCAGACUCCUACGGGAGGCAGCAGUGGGGAAUAUUGCACAAUGGGCGCAAGCCUGAUGCAGCAACGCCGCGUGAGGGAUGACGGCCUUCGGGUUGUAAACCUCUUUUAGUAGGGAAGAAGCGAAAGUGACGGUACCUGCAGAAAAAGCACCGGCUAACUACGUGCCAGCCGCCGCAGUAA